UGCCAGCCGCCGCGGUAAUACGGAGGAUGCGAGCGUUAUCCGGAUUUAUUGGGUUUAAAGGGAGCGUAGGUGGAAUGUUAAGUCAGCUGUGAAAGUCCGCGGCUCAACCGCGGAAUUGCAUUUGAUACUGGCAUUCUUGAGUGCGGCAGAGGUAGGCGGAAUUCGUGGUGUAGCGGUGAAAUGCUUAGAUAUCACGAAGAACUCCGAUUGCGAAGGCAGCUUACUGGACCGGCACUGACACUGAUGCUCGAAAGUGUGGGUAUCAAACAGGAUUAGAUA
This 279-nucleotide ribosomal RNA is filed under the name uncultured bacterium. RNAcentral's name for it is "partial 16S ribosomal RNA". It matches the Rfam family "Bacterial small subunit ribosomal RNA", at positions 506 to 784 of the family's 1533-position model. The record is from RNAcentral.